CCUACGGGUGGCUGCAGUAGGGAAUAUUGCUCAAUGGGGGAAACUCUGAAGCAGCAACGCCGCGUGGAGGAUGAAGGUUUUCGGAUUGUAAACUCCUUUUGUUAGAGAAGUUAAUUACGGUAUCUAACGAAUAAUUCCCGGCGAACCGCGUGCCAGCAGCCGCGGUACUACGGCGGGUGCAAGCGUUACUCGGAAUCACUGGGCGUAAAGGGCGCGUAGGCGGGAUAGCAAGUGAGUUGUGAAAUCCUAUGGCUUAAACGUGGAACUGCAUUUGGAACUGUUAGGCUGGAGUGUGGGGGAGGUAGGUGGAAUUAGGGGUGGAGAGGGGAAAUGAGGAGAGAGAACGAAGAACUCAGAGGGAGAAGGGAGCCCA
RNAcentral lists this ribosomal RNA (373 nucleotides) under uncultured bacterium. RNAcentral's name for it is "partial 16S ribosomal RNA". It matches the Rfam family "Bacterial small subunit ribosomal RNA", at positions 338 to 728 of the family's 1533-position model. The record is from RNAcentral.